Long non-coding RNA from Fopius arisanus, 1822 nucleotides. RefSeq lists it as uncharacterized. Lineage: Eukaryota; Metazoa; Arthropoda; Insecta; Hymenoptera; Braconidae. The record is from RefSeq and is a predicted model, not a curated record. The transcript is spliced from 6 exons.
AUCGUCUUUGGUGCGUGACUUGUGGAGACUUGUGUUUUCCAUGCUCGUGUUUUCAUAAAAAAUACAUAGAAAUUGUUGCACCAGGGAGCAUAAACAACCCGCGGUUCAGUUGAACAAACGUAAACAAAGGUUCAGUGCAUUAACUCAUGGUAAAUUGUGGAAAAAUAAGUGAUGUGUCAGACAAAUGUGGACAAAAACACAUGUGGAGUGAUAAUAACCAAAUUUCAGUGUGUGAUUAAUAUUUUAAAGACUCAUUUGUGAAUAAUUGGAUUUCCCUCGACAUCAGGAGUAUUUACCAGAAAUGAAUGAAUUAUCUUCCUAAUGCAAAAAUGAUUGCAUCAAGGAGCUGCCAGUUACGUGCCGUGCAACUUCCGGUCAUUCAUGAAAUUUGUAUUGGAGACGAUGAGAAUAAUCGAUUCAAGUCCCGUAUGGGGUACCUCCGUACUUGAAUCAUGCACCAGGUGUUCACGAAAAUACAGGUGUGAAACGGAUGUUCCUCUUGAUAAUUCACGAGUGAUUUGAUCGCUCGCGGUUGGAGCGCGGGGCUUCCGGGAUGUCACUAUAUGUUGGGUAUUGUAAGACUCCGUCUUCAGAUCUAACGAAGUAGGGUUCCAAUGGAUUGACGAACUCUCGAUUUCUGUACGGAUCGUAUUCAUGGCAUUGACACUCGGGAUUUGACAGGCAGGAACUCCGGGGAUAAUGCAAUUCCACGGAUGGCCAGAUGCCUGACUGCACUGGCAUUCGUACCACACGUACCUCUCUUCCGCAAUAACUUGGACGAUGAAUCGUGUAAUAUCUUACAUCUUGGGAAACUUCUGGUGUCGCUUCCGGUUUAUUCUGUGAUGAUGCCAUUUCUCAAUUUGCUCCUGCAAUUACAGAACUUCUGCUGAAGAAAAUAAUGAAACACUGGCUCACUGGAAGUGCAAAUGGAGAAGGAAAAACUAUUUUCGAUAACUUCAAGUGGAUUUUCUCACCUGGAGUGGAUGUUUGCGGACUUGAAAAUGUCGAGGACACAAUUAUAAACAGUGUGAUUUCACCGAGGAACAAACGAAGAGUGAUCUCUGCGUUGACCUACCCCUCCUGCAAGGAAUUACCCAUAUACCUGUUACCUGGAGAGUGAAUAGCCAAUUGCAAUUUGCCAGACCCUUUUGGGACCCUCUGGACAAUGGGAGGGAGUGGGGAUUGGUGCCCGGCAGGCCCAUUUUUCCCUUUCGGGGGAAAUUCUGCAUUUUGUGCCCCUUCAGGUAUUUGGACAAUACUAUCAAUCGUACUAAUCCUCGGACGCACCGGAUUAUACCAGUUUUAUGGACGCUGGAUGAUAUUAUUCUCGCACUCAUGGAGAGCGAUCUUCACCAGGUGAUUAAGCAGAUACAGUAUAUGAAUGACUUACAACGUAUGAUUUGCAACGUACAUGGAGAGUAGAGUGCAGGGAUCUACUGGAAAAUUUGGGGAGGUACAAGCUCACUAGUGACAGACUGACUUUUCUCGGGAAAUACUGCGAGUUUCAUCAGAUGUACGAGAUCGGAGAGUUCCAGGAAGCUGCGAGGCUACUCAUGUCACUAAUUAUAUCCAAUUUGACGCCUAAGUAUUUCUGGCCGAUUCUUCUGUCCGAUGCAAUACCUCUUCUGGAAUCCGAAGACGUAAUACUCUCCAGUGAAGAUACAUUCACGCUGAUGAGGUGUUUAGAGGAGCACGGAGAUGACCUGGAAUUUCAGGAUAAAGUGGAAAUAACAAGAUUGGCGGUUGCGAGGACCUUGUCCCGAGCCCUUAUCCUCGACGACUGCCAAAAUGAUUAAUAAAUUAUGUUUUUUUAUAUUUAUAA